RNAcentral lists this ribosomal RNA (913 nucleotides) under uncultured crenarchaeote. RNAcentral's name for it is "bacterial SSU rRNA". It matches the Rfam family "Archaeal small subunit ribosomal RNA", at positions 1 to 921 of the family's 1478-position model. The record is from RNAcentral. Lineage: Archaea; Thermoproteati; Thermoproteota.
UUCCGGUUGAUCCNGCCGGACCUGACUGCUAUCGGAUUGAUACUAAGCCAUGCGAGUCAUUGUAGCAAUACAAGGCAUACGGCACAGUAACGCGUAGUCAACCUACCCUAUGGACGGGAAUAACCUCGGGAAACUGAGUAUAAUGCCCGAUAGAACAUUAUGCCUGGAAUGGUUUAUGUUCCAAAUGAUUUAUCGCCGUAGGAUGGGACUGCGGCCUAUCAGUUUGUUGGUGAGGUAAUGGCCCACCAAGACUAUUACAGGUACGGGCUCUGAGAGGAGUAGCCCGGAGAUGGGUACUGAGACACGGACCCAGGCCCUAUGGGGCGCAGCAGGCGAGAAAACUUUGCAAUGUGCGAAAGCACGACAAGGUUAAUCCGAGUGGUUUCUGCUAAAGGAACCUUUUGUUAGUCCUAGAAACACUAACGAAUAAGGGGUGGGCAAGUUCUGGUGUCAGCCGCCGCGGUAAAACCAGCACCUCAAGUGGUCAGGAUGAUUAUUGGGCCUAAAGCAUCCGUAGCCGGUUCUGUAAGUUUUCGGUUAAAUCUGUACGCUCAACGUACAGGCUGUCGGGAAUACUGCAGAACUAGGGAGUGGGAGAGGUAGACGGUACUCGGGAGGAAGUGGUAAAAUGCUUUGAUCUCUCGAUGACCACCUGUGGCGAAGGCGGUCUACCAGAACACGUCCGACGGUGAGGGAUGAAAGCUGGGGGAGCAAACCGGAUUAGAUACCCGGGUAGUCCCAGCCGUAAACUAUGUAAACUCAGUGAUGCAUUGGCUUGUGGCCAAUGCAGUGUUGCAGGGAAGCCGUUAAGUUUACCGCCUGGGAAGUACGUACGCAAGUAUGAAACUUAAAGGAAUUGGCGGGGGAGCACCACAAGGGGUGAAGCCUGCGGUUCAAUUGGAUUCAACGCCGG